This is a long non-coding RNA of Harpia harpyja (harpy eagle), 1153 nucleotides long. RefSeq lists it as uncharacterized. The record is from RefSeq and is a predicted model, not a curated record. The transcript is spliced from 3 exons. NCBI's taxonomy places the organism in Eukaryota, Metazoa, Chordata, Aves, Accipitriformes, Accipitridae.
GAAAGGUAAGCAUGCUGUUUCAUUACAGAGAUCCAUCACUUCCUGAAGUCACGGGAAGGCUCAUGCUUCCUCAAGAGGAUCCAGUGCUCCUUGGACCACAAUCCAUCACCAGGCUAUGUAGAGCCCUUCCUACCUCCUAGUUACAGAUAUGAUCUCAAAAAGAAAACAUAGUGUAAGAGACCUCCCUUCUGUUAUCUGACCAUCUGGGAUCCUUUUAUAAGAAAAACAUCAUUCCAGUAUUGGAAAGAAUAUUUCAGUUUGCCAUAUUUAAUCGGAACAUAUUGAAGCAAGAUGCAAAGCAGUAUCGGAUGAAAGCUAAACUCCUCCGUUAGAUGUUAAAGUCCAUCUGACCAGUUGUCAGCCGCUCUGCUUGCUGGUGGCACAUCCAUCACUCGGAGCGUGUUCCCUCCUCACCUGACAAAGCCGCUUAUCCAACUGUUCCCGGAGUGGGAAUCUGCAGAAGGCACUUAAAGAAGAGACAGAGGAGGCUGUUCCCCGGAAAGCAGCGCACUCUGAGAUGAACACGAGGUUUUUGGCCGGUGCCUCACCACAUUCUGCUGAGUCAAGUCAGCAUUAAGUGAAUACAAAUUCUCCCUUGGGAGUCCUAAUUACAGCUGAGGAUCUGAGGAAGUUAUGGAAGGAAACAGGAGGGCUGGAGUGCUUUCAUAGCUUCUUCUUUUGAAUAUUCAGGAAAAAUACAAGGAGACACCCAUGACCCACGGCACCCCAGAACUGCAAUUGCAGGCCAUACCCAGCUUCACCCCUGUUGAUUUCAUCCGUAGGACUCCUGUUGGAGAAGGAUUUUGGGGGUGACCGAUUAAUCGGUAGCAAGUCCCUACAGAGCUGUCUGUAAUGGGCACAACUAUAAGAUUUGCCAGCAUCAGUGCUGUCUGUAUCUUUUGUACACACAGCUGGUGGUGCUUAAAUUGCUCCUUGCUUAAAUUGAUGUUCGUGGCAUCUGAUUUUUUUUUUUUUAGUGUAUUUAGUAUUUUGUAACAAUUUAUAUCACUAUGUGAGUGCUUCAAUGCAACUUAUUGAGAGCAAUCAGCCUGUAGUUGCCCUUCAUUCAUCUAAGGGCAAUAAAAAGUAAAAAGCAGCUAUGGUACUUUCUUGGAGUGACACAGCUGAAAUAAAUCCAUCACCCAAAACUUAA